AGUUGGAAACGGCUGUUAAUACCGCAUAAUAUCUACGGAUUAAAGGUAGCAACUUGUUGCUGUCGCGAAUGGAUGAGCCUGCGUUGGAUUAGCUAGUUGGUAGGGUAAGGGCCUACCAAGGCGACGAUCCAUAGCUGAUUUGAGAGGAUGAUCAGCCACAUUGGGACUGAGACACGGCCCAAACUCCUACGGGAGGCAGCAGUGGGGAAUAUUGGACAAUGGAGGAAACUCUGAUCCAGCAAUACCAUGUGUGUGAAGAAGGCCUUAGGGUUGUAAAGCACUUUAGUUAGGGAGGAAGUUUUGUUAGUUAAUAGCUAAUGAAAUUGACGUUACCUAAAGAAUAAGCACCGGCUAACUCCGUGCCAGCAGCUGCGGUAAUGCGGGGGGUGCAAGCGUUAAUCGGAAUUACUGGGCGUAAAGGGUCUGUAGGUGGUAUGAUAAGUCAGAUGUGAAAGCCCAGGGCUCAACCUUGGAACUGCAUUUGAUACUGUCAUGCUAGAGUACGGUAGAGGAAUGGGGAAUUUCUGGUGUAGCGGUGAAAUGCGUAGAGAUCAGAAGGAACAUCAAUGGCGAAGGCAACAUUCUGGACUGCUACUGACACUGAGGGACGAAAGCAUGGGGAUCAAACAGGAUUAGAUACCCUGGUAGUCCAUGCUGUAAACGAUGAGUACUAGCUGUUAGGUUCGGUGUAAAGGGCCUAGUGGCGCAGCUAACGCGAUAAGUACUCCGCCUGGGGACUACGGCCGCAAGGCUAAAACUCAAAGGAAUUGACGGGGACCCGCACAAGCGGUGGAGCAUGUGGUUUAAUUCGAUGCAACGCGAAGAACCUUACCUGGUCUUGACAUCCUAGAAACUUAGCAGAGAUGCUUUGGUGCCUUUUUGGAACCUAGAGACAGGUGCUGCAUGGCUGUCGUCAGCUCGUGUUGUGAAAUGUUGGGUUAAGUCCCGCAACGAGCGCAACCCUUAUUGAUAAUUACCAUCAUUAAGUUGGGUACUCUAUUGAGACUGCCGCUGACAAGGCGGAGGAAGGUGGGGACGACGUCAAGUCAUCAUGGCCCUUACGACCAGGGCUACACACGUGCUACAAUGGGUAUUACAGAGGGCUGCCAAACCGCGAGGUGGAGCGAA
This 1128-nucleotide ribosomal RNA is filed under the name uncultured Pseudomonadota bacterium. Its description in RNAcentral is "bacterial SSU rRNA". It matches the Rfam family "Bacterial small subunit ribosomal RNA", at positions 148 to 1271 of the family's 1533-position model. Lineage: Bacteria; Pseudomonadati; Pseudomonadota. The record is from RNAcentral.